GUGCUAAAGCAUAGUUUGGCAAUUGAAGCAGCAUCACAGGUCUGUAGGAUCAGCAGCCAGAUGCAAAGAACAAGCUCUGACUUGCAACGUACCACUUCCCUUAAAGAGAGGCUGAUUGGUGGUUACAGACGUCACUGGCUCUGGAUAUUUGCCCACAGAGAUGAGACGACCAUAAAUAUUAAUUGUCUUAGUAAUGGUACUGCAGAUUUAGUGCUGGCUGUGUUGCAGGUAAGUUUAAUGGAAGUGCAGCUUAGUACAGUGAGUCUCACAUAUGGUCACAUGAAUGGUGGCUGAAAUCAAACCUAUAAACAGCAAUUGCAGAGUGUUUCUGGUGUGUGUUCCAUCCUGCUGCUCUUGCAAAUGAAAACUUGUAAAGCUACAGGCAAAAAUUCUCAUGUUCUUUUUACUUCUCUCUUUACCAUUUUCUUGCUCUCAUAUUCUUUUGCAUUUCUUGCUCAAAACUGAGUGUUUUGAGUUCUUCACUUACGCUUUAUUGUUUAGAGUUUGUGGUUUGCAGUGGUUUCUUACUUAUGGUAAGAAACUUAGUGGUUUAUUACUUUAUUUUGCGAGGCUCUGUAUUUAUUAUGAUUUACUCUUUACUUAUUUAUAGAUUGGGGCACCAGAUGUAAAAAUGUAGUCUCAUCCAUAAAAUCUAAAUCCCCAAUGACAAGGGUGCUGAGAUUUGUAGUUUAUCAUUUUAAGGCUUACUGUGCAAAAUGGAAAAGUUGAAGUCCUUGGAUAACAAACUGUAAGCCCUGAAGCUUAAACAGUAGGCUCUGUGAAUACACUAAGUAAGGCACUAAGACUCUGUAAAUUAUUGGUAAAAAUUUAUUGAAUCUAACAUCAGGAGGAAAAAGAGCAUAGUAUAAUCUUACAUACCUUCAGGUGCUGGGAACAGUCUUCUGCAGAAUUGGAGAGAUCCCUAACUGAGGUACAGCCCCACAGUGCAGCUUCUGUCUUCUGUUGACAUCUUGGUCUUUGUAGCUCUUGUGGGAUUUUCUUCUAAGAAAAUAAUUCUAUUCACUGUAAUUCUUUUACUGUCAAACGAGAGUGUUCACUUGAGAACCUGCUGCUGUGCUUUCAGAUCUGAGAUCUUGGUUUGACCCUGUGCAGGCAUAACACGCUGCCACUGCUGGUGCAUGAGUUGAGAGCUGUCAAGCUUCUUGCAGGGCUGUACUCUAGGUGUAGGGCAGAAGCACAGACAGGUGAAUUUAGGGUUUUUCGUUGAAUAACAAAGCUGAGUCCUCUCCUUGAAGGAAAAAGCAGACUGACAGUAAUACCUCUUGGUGAACUU
RNAcentral lists this long non-coding RNA (1294 nucleotides) under Manacus vitellinus (golden-collared manakin). Its description in RNAcentral is "lncRNA (ENSMVIG00005016146.1)". Lineage: Eukaryota; Metazoa; Chordata; Aves; Passeriformes; Pipridae. The record is from RNAcentral.